This is a small nuclear RNA of Bison bison bison, 107 nucleotides long. Lineage: Eukaryota; Metazoa; Chordata; Mammalia; Artiodactyla; Bovidae. The record is from Ensembl.
GUGCUCACUGAAGCAGUGCAUAUACUAAUAUUGGAACAAUACAGAGAAGAUUAGCAUGACACCUGCUCAGCGAUGUCAUACAAAUUCAGGAAACAUUUUGUAUUUUA